Molecule: ribosomal RNA, 378 nt
Filed under: uncultured bacterium
Lineage: Bacteria
Description: bacterial SSU rRNA
Rfam family: Bacterial small subunit ribosomal RNA
Source: RNAcentral
GAUGAACGCUGGCGGAGUGCCUAACACAUGCAAGUCGAGCGGCAGCGCGAGUAGUUUACUACUUGGCGGCGAGCGGCGGACGGCUGAGUAACGCGUGGGAACAUGCCCCAAAGUGAGGAAUAACUGCCCGAAAGGGUAGCUAAUGCCGCAUACGGUCUUCGGAUUAAAGGAUUUAUCCGCUUUGGGAGUGGCCUGCGUACGAUUAGAUAGUUGGUGAGGUAAUGGCUCACCAAGUCUACGAUCGUUAACUGGUUUGAGAGGAUGAUCAGUCAGACUGGAACUGAGACACGGUCCAGACUCCUACGGGAGGCAGCAGUGAGGAAUCUUCCACAAUGGACGAAAGUCUGAUGGAGCAACUCCGCGUGCAGGAUGAAGGCC